ACUCAAACACACUCUUCAAUCAAUAUAAAUAAGAAUUCCCACCAUAAUUUAAAUUUCAACGGCCGCGGUAUCCUAACCGUGCAAAGGUAGCAUAAUCACUUGCCAUUAAUUGUGGGCUAGAUGAAGGACUAACGAAAUUUGAAUUUCUUUUUUUUUUCAUUAAAAUUUAUCUUUUAAUUAAAAUUGCUGAAUUAGUUCAAAAACCAAAAACCCCUAAAACCUUUUUUUUAAAUUAUUUUUUUUUUUUAAUAUUUUGGCGCCCCCUAAAUAUUCUCCCCUAUUGCAAUAACUCUCUCCACUUACCCUCCUCAAUAUCUCCUAACAAGCUCCCCCUUGAUAACACCUAUUCCCCUUUAAAAUCCUUAUCAAUAAAUAGUUUUCACUCUCAUAUUGCUAUGAAUUUUAACGCAAAAUCUACAUAAAGA
This 425-nucleotide ribosomal RNA is filed under the name Eisenia fetida (common brandling worm). RNAcentral describes it as "partial 16S ribosomal RNA". Lineage: Eukaryota; Metazoa; Annelida; Clitellata; Crassiclitellata; Lumbricidae. The record is from RNAcentral.